GAGUUUGAUCGUGGCUCAGAUUGAACGCUGGCGGCAGGCCUAACACAUGCAAGUCGAGCGGAUGAAGGGAGCUUGCUCCUGGAUUCAGCGGUGGACGGGUGAGUAAUGCCUAGGAAUCUGCCUGGGUAGUGGGGAGUAACGUCCGGAAACGGGACGGCUAAUACCGCAUACGUCCUGAGGGAGGAAAGUGGGGAGUCUUCGGACCUCACGCUAUCAGAUGAGCCUAGGUCGGAUUAGCUAGUUGGUGGGGUAAAGGACCUACCAAGGCGACGAUCCGUAACUGGUCUGAGAGGAUGAUCAGUCACACUGGAACUGAGACACGGUCCAGACUCCUACGGGAGGCAGCAGUGGGGAAUAUUGGACAAUGGGCGGAAAGCCUGAUCCAGCCAUGCCGCGUGUGUGAAGAAGGUCUUCGGAUUGUAAAGCACUUUAAGUUGGGAGGAAGGGCAGUAAGUUAAUACCUUGCUGUUUUGACGUUACCAACAGAAUAAGCACCGGCUAACUUCGUGCCAG
RNAcentral lists this ribosomal RNA (513 nucleotides) under uncultured microorganism. Its description in RNAcentral is "bacterial SSU rRNA". It matches the Rfam family "Bacterial small subunit ribosomal RNA", at positions 9 to 511 of the family's 1533-position model. The record is from RNAcentral.